This is a non-coding RNA of Stegodyphus mimosarum, 73 nucleotides long. NCBI's taxonomy places the organism in Eukaryota, Metazoa, Arthropoda, Arachnida, Araneae, Eresidae. The record is from Rfam.
GCCUCCGUGGUGUAGUGGUCUGCAUGCUCGAGUCGUAAUCGAGAGGUCCGUGGUUCGAUUCCCGGCGACGGCG